CCACUGCCGUGUUGCUGUUCGUGCUCAACCAACUUGAUCUCACUUGGUUAUGGCCUCAAAGCACAAGAGCAUUGGCAGUGGUGAGUCGGAUACGCUGAAGAGUAGCUAUGAAGUAC
RNAcentral lists this microRNA precursor (116 nucleotides) under Mus pahari (shrew mouse). RNAcentral describes it as "miRNA (MGP_PahariEiJ_G0007516.1)". Lineage: Eukaryota; Metazoa; Chordata; Mammalia; Rodentia; Muridae. The record is from RNAcentral.